Molecule: ribosomal RNA, 253 nt
Filed under: uncultured prokaryote
Description: partial 16S ribosomal RNA
Rfam family: Bacterial small subunit ribosomal RNA
Source: RNAcentral
ACGGAGGAUGCAAGCGUUAUCCGGAAUGAUUGGGCGUAAAGGGUCCGCAGGUGGCAGUGUAAGUCUGCUGUCAAAGAAUGAGGCUUAACCUCAUCAAGGCAGUGGAAACUACACAGCUAGAGUACGGUCGGGGUAGAAGGAAUUCCUGGUGUAGCGGUGAAAUGCGUAGAGAUCAGGAAGAACACCGGUGGCGAAAGCGUUCUGCUAGACCUGUACUGACACUGAGGGACGAAAGCUAGGGGAGCGAAUGGGA